Non-coding RNA from Myotis davidii, 75 nucleotides. NCBI's taxonomy places the organism in Eukaryota, Metazoa, Chordata, Mammalia, Chiroptera, Vespertilionidae. The record is from Rfam.
AGCGUUUCUCGGGUGAUGCAUCCAAGAAUUGGGCUCCCUCCUCUCUUGUUCCUGGGGCAUCACCCGAGAACCACC